UGAGGAAGUAAAAGUCGUAACAAGGUCUCCGUUGGUGAACCAGCGGAGGGAUCAUUACGAGAGACGCCGCCUCCCUGCUCGCAGGGGGCGACUUCCAACCCUUGCGAACCAUACCAAACCUGUUCUCGUUGUCUCCGGUAGGCGGCCCCGCGUGCUUCGCGGGGCACGCAGGCCCCGGUUGCAUGCCCGGGCGCCUGCCGGAGGCGGCCUGCCACCAAACCUCUUUUUUUUCUCCAUUCUCGUCUGAGCAGAUUGUAACAAAUCAAAACUUUCAACAACGGAUCUCUUGGCUCUGGCAUCGAUGAAGAACGCAGCGAAAUGCGAUAAGUAAUGUGAAUUGCAGAACUCAGUGAAUCAUCGAAUCUUUGAACGCACAUUGCGCCUGCCAGCAUUCUGGCAGGCAUGCCUGUCCGAGCGUCAUUUCCACCCCUCAGCGCGCCCCGGCGCGCUGGUGUUGGGGGCCCUCUCCCGCCCUGGCGCGGCUGAGUCCCCGAAAGCGAGUGGCGGGCCGUCUGGUUUGGCUCUGAGCGCAGUAGAAUCUUCUCGCUCCGGACGCCCCGGUCGUGCCCUGCCGUGAAAACCCGCACUUGACGUGCAACCCACAAGGUGACCUCGG
This 616-nucleotide ribosomal RNA is filed under the name uncultured fungus. RNAcentral describes it as "eukaryotic LSU rRNA". The stretch from base 267 to 420 matches the Rfam family "5.8S ribosomal RNA". Lineage: Eukaryota; Fungi. The record is from RNAcentral.